Molecule: transfer RNA, 91 nt
Filed under: Hymenobacter arizonensis
Lineage: Bacteria; Pseudomonadati; Bacteroidota; Cytophagia; Cytophagales; Hymenobacteraceae
Also listed under: 2 other names
Description: Siccationidurans arizonensis tRNA_Ser_GCT
Rfam family: tRNA
About the family: Transfer RNA (tRNA) molecules are approximately 80 nucleotides in length. Their secondary structure includes four short double-helical elements and three loops (D, anti-codon, and T loops).
Source: RNAcentral
GGAGAGGUGGGUGAGUGGCUGAAACCAGUAGUUUGCUAAACUGCCGUAGCUCUAAAGGUUACCGGGGGUUCGAAUCCCCCCCUCUCCACUA